RNAcentral lists this ribosomal RNA (270 nucleotides) under uncultured bacterium. RNAcentral's name for it is "partial 16S ribosomal RNA". It matches the Rfam family "Bacterial small subunit ribosomal RNA", at positions 28 to 291 of the family's 1533-position model. The record is from RNAcentral.
GACGAACGCUGGCGGCGCGCUUAACACAUGCAAGUCGAGCGAGAACCGGUCCUUCGGGACCGGGGAAAGCGGCGAACGGGUGAGUAACACGUGGGUAAUCAACCCCAGGCACUGGGAUAGCCCGAGGAAACUCGGAUUAAUACCGGAUGGCCCAGCAGUCUUUCGAGACGGCUGGAAAAGGUAGCUUCGGCCUCCGGCCUGGGACGAGCCCGCGGCGGAUUAGCUUGUUGGUGGGGUAACGGCCUACCAAGGCGACGAUCCGUAGCUGGU